CCACCGUAGCACCCCCCACCUCCCCAACUGCCACAGAGCGGCGAGCUAGAGCGUCUCCCAUCUCUAUGGUCGGUGGUGCGAUGCGGUCGGUUAGUUAUGUACAGCGGGUGGCGCUCGAGUUCAGCGGGAGCCUGUUCCCGCACGCCAUCCGCCUGGGGGACGCCGACAACGACACGCGGAACGAGCUGGUGGUGGGGGACACCAGUGGGAAGCUCUACGUGUACAAGAAUGAUGAUACCAAACCCUGGACUGUGCGUUCAUGCCAAGGAAUGCUCACCUGUGUUGGUGUCGGGGAUGUGUGCAACAAAGGCAAGAACCUGGUUGUGGCAGUGAGUGCUGAGGGUUGGUUCCAUCUCUUUGACCUCACUCCACCACCCUCAAAGCACUCAGAGGCCUCCAGCCACCAUGAGCCUCCGCCAUCGGAUGAGCAAAGGCCAGUGUUCAAGCAGCAUAUUCCUGCCAACACCAAGGUCAUGCUGAUCAACGACAUCGACGGCGACGGGAAGUGUGAGCUGGUGGUGGGUUACACCGACCGUGUGGUGCGAGCUUUCCGCUGGGAGGAUUUGUCCGAAGGCUCUGACCACCUCUUGGGGCAGCUGGUCCUCUUGAAGAAGUGGCUACUAGAAGGGCAGGUAGACAGCCUCUCCGUGAACCCUGGCCCCGAUGGCGCCCCAGAGAUGAUGGUGUCUCAGCCAGGCUGCGGCUACGCUGUCCUUCUCUGCACCUGGAAGUUGGAGCAGCAGCAGCAGCCUGCAGCAGAGGAGGGAGACAACUCUGCAGCCAACAGGGAAGCUCCAGUGCGUGACGUUAUUCUUCACCAGACAUCUGGUCGCAUCCAUAACGAGAACGUUUCUACCCACCUCAUUGGCAGCAUCAGCCGAGGCUGCCCCACAGCAAGUGGUGGCUCGGGCCUUUUCGCCCUGUGCACUCUAGACGGGACAUUGAAGCUCAUGGAGGGAGCAGAUAAGCUGCUGUGGUCUGUACAAGUUGAUCACCAGCUCUUCGCUCUGGAAAAACUGGAUGUCACAGGCGAUGGGCAUGACGAGGUGGUGGCCUGUGCGUGGGAUGGUCAAACAUACAUCAUCGACCACAAUCGGACUGUGGCCAGGUUCCAGGUGGAUGAGAAUGUCAGCGCGUUCUGUGCAGGCCUCUAUGCCUGCAAAGGCGGCCGCAACAGCCCCUGUCUGGUUUAUGUUAGUUUCAACCAGAAGAUCUAUAUCUACUGGGACGUGCAGCUGGAGAGAAUGGAGUCCACGAACUUACUGAAGAUACUGAAGGCCAACCCAGAGUUUGAGGACCUCCUCCAGCAGCUGGGUGUUGAAAGCGAUGAUGUUUCUGCUGUCAAAGACCUGAUUCACAAAACCCUGUACUUCCCUGAGAAGCACCUGCAGAACAGCCCCUCCCAGCACCGGAGUCCUGCUGGAGCUGACUCGUCCAGCAAUCACACUGUUGCCCAGGACUCCAUAUAAACCAAGCUGGGUGUGGACAAGUACCUAUAACAGCAGUGACUCUUCUCUAGUUGAUGGUUGGAGUUAGGCAUGUGCCUGUGACUCAAGCUGAGUCUAGCAGCCAGGAUCAAAGAGCAUCUUCCUUUUCCAUCAGCCUCAGCUUCCAGCAGGCUAACAGCAGUUGGACAAGAGACUUGGUUAGAACUGAGCCAUUGCAGUAGGGCUGGGGCGAGAUGUGGAAACCAAGGGAAAAGCUGUGGCCCCAGCCCACAGCAGUGAGCCAGCCACAGACCUGGAGACCAUGGAGUUUUCCUGAUUCCAAGUCCUUUGCUGCCUCUGAGACAAAGCUGCCUCAUUGCUGCACAGCUACAGAGAGAGUGUUUUCAUCCACCCUGUAGAGUGCUGCUGUUAUUGAUAUCACUUUCUAAAGUGGCUGAAGUGAAUGAAGAGCUUGUCUUACCAAUUUCUGCCUCCCUCCCCAGCCCCCGUGGGACAGGCUUCUUGAAUCGUUUAAGUGCUUUGGAACUGUUUUUCUCUGAGAGUAGGGAGGGUUUGUGGUUUAGAUAUGUUUUGCUCAAACUAAAAUGUGGCCUGUGGUGGUUUUACAGAAGAAUGAGCUGGGCUGUAGGAAUUAUCCAGCAAGUGGAUGGAGCAUUGAGGGUUGCCAGCCAAGGGCUGGUCUCCCCUGGCACAUGACCUUGAGGAGUUAUGUAUGUACCCAUGGCUGAACACAACUGCAUGUAGGGACCCACUCUAUUUGACACUUGGCUGGUGCUGGCUUAGCUCAUGUGCCUCCUGGGACUGUGCUUUAGCACAGCAUUUCUCAACCUGUGGGUCACGACCCAAAAGUGGGUCACAAGACUAUAUGAAAGGAUCAUGAACAAGCUUCAUAAAAUGGAUCAACCAACUUUAAAAAUGGAUUCUCCUUUGAAGGAGAAAAAUGUGGGAAACAGUCAGUUUCCCCUUUCAGACUAGCAGAGUUCCAACCUGGUUGGGGGGAGCAGGAGGAAGGUGAUCAGGCAGGGGAUGCCAAGUUCAUGUGCAUGUGCACACUUGCACAUGGCAGCCAGGCAGCGUGGAGAGCAGCUCCUGCAGCUCCCUGCAGGUAAGUCUAUGGGGAGGGGGGCAUAAAUGACGUGUCAGGGGAAUGGGGAGGCACAAGUGACACCGCCUGCCACCCCAUCUCCUCUCUGGGUUAGAGCUAUGACCUGAGGGGAGCAGUGACAGUGGCUGGGCCAUGGCAGUGAGGUAGAGCUAUGGCCUGGUGCAUGAGCAGCUGGCAGUGGAAGAAGGUGAGGGCAGCACAGCUCCCCAAUGCCCCCCGUCCCCCAUCAGUUACUCCUUGCGCUGCUGGCAGCAUGACUGGCAUGGGAGUUCCAGCAGCAGUGGCAGCAAUGAAUCUUGCUGCCCCACUCUGCCCUCCUGUGCUGAGUCAUGCCCACUGGGCCGCAGAGACAGCUCCUGCCUAUGCCGGUCCAGUCAGGCUGCAGUCCCAUGCCCACUGUGGCUGCACAAAUCUGGGGGGCACGUCCUGUCCCCCCCACACCCACCCCCUGC
RNA transcript from Alligator sinensis (Chinese alligator), 3005 nucleotides. It is a transcript of the gene named integrin alpha FG-GAP repeat containing 2, with no coding region annotated. The transcript has 13 exons. The record is from RefSeq and is a predicted model, not a curated record. Lineage: Eukaryota; Metazoa; Chordata; Crocodylia; Alligatoridae.